GACGAACGCUGGCGGCGUGCCUAAUACAUGCAAGUUGAGCGAUGAAGAUUGGUGCUUGCACCAAUUUGAAGAGCAGCGAACGGGUGAGUAACGCGUGGGGAAUCUGCCUUUGAGCGGGGGACAACAUUUGGAAACGAAUGCUAAUACCGCAUAACAACUUUAAACAUAAGUUUUAAGUUUGAAAGAUGCAAUUGCAUCACUCAAAGAUGAUCCCGCGUUGUAUUAGCUAGUUGGUGAGGUAAAGGCUCACCAAGGCGAGGAUACAUAGCCGACCUGAGAGGGUGAUCGGCCAAAUUGGGACUGAGACACGGCCCAAACUCCUACGGGAGGCAGCAGUAGGGAAUCUUCGGCGAUGGAAGAAAGUCUGACCGAGCAACGCCGCGUGAGUGAAGAAGGUUUUCGGAUCGUAAAACUCUGUUGGUAGAGAAGAACGUUGGUGAGAGUGGAAAGCUCAUCAAGUGACGGUAACUACCCAGAAAGGGACGGCUAACUACGUG
This 497-nucleotide ribosomal RNA is filed under the name uncultured bacterium. RNAcentral describes it as "partial 16S ribosomal RNA". It matches the Rfam family "Bacterial small subunit ribosomal RNA", at positions 28 to 507 of the family's 1533-position model. The record is from RNAcentral.